AACGCACAUUGCGCCCGCUAGUAUUCUAGCAGGCAUGCCUGUCCGAGCGUCGUUUCGACCCUCAGGCCGUUCUCCUCAGGGCGGUCUGGUGUUGGGGCAUCUAUGCUUAGGCGUAUGCCCCGAAAUUCAGCGGCGGACCCGCCGAGACCCCGAACGCAGUAGUUAAUACCUCGUUUAGGGUGUCACGGCGGGCGUCUCCUGCCGUUAAACCCCCCAGUUUUGCAAGGUCGACCUCGGAUCAGGUAGGAAUACCCGCUGAACUUAA
This 265-nucleotide unclassified non-coding RNA is filed under the name uncultured fungus. Its description in RNAcentral is "sequence contains ITS2". The record is from RNAcentral. Lineage: Eukaryota; Fungi.